RNAcentral lists this ribosomal RNA (433 nucleotides) under uncultured bacterium. RNAcentral describes it as "partial 16S ribosomal RNA". It matches the Rfam family "Bacterial small subunit ribosomal RNA", at positions 29 to 507 of the family's 1533-position model. The record is from RNAcentral.
AACGAACGCUGGCGGCAUGCCUAACACAUGCAAGUCGAACGAGACCUUCGGGUCUAGUGGCGCACGGGUGCGUAACGCGUGGGAACCUGCCCUUAGGUUCGGAAUAACUCCCCGAAAGGGGUGCUAAUACCGGAUAAUGUCUUAGGACCAAAGAUUUAUCGCCUUUGGAUGGGCCCGGGUUGGAUUAGCUAGUUGGUAGGGUAAAAGCCUACCAAGGCGACGAUCCAUAGCUGGUCUGAGAGGAUGAUCAGCCACACUGGGACUGAGACACGGCCCAGACUCCUACGGGAGGCAGCAGUGGGGAAUAUUGGACAAUGGGCGAAAGCCUGAUCCAGCAAUGCCGCGUGAGUGAUGAAGGCCUUAGGGUUGUAAAGCUCUUUUACCCGGGAUGAUAAUGACAGUACCGGGAGAAUAAGCUCCGGCUAACUCCGUG